CCUAAGGGCGGCAGCAGUGGGGAAUAUUGGACAAUGGGCGAAAGCCUGAUCCAGCCAUGCCGCGUGUGUGAAGAAGGCCUUCGGGUUGUAAAGCACUUUCAGUGGGGAAGAAAGCCUUGGGGCUAAUACCCUCGAGGAAGGACAUCACCCACAGAAGAAGCACCGGCUAACUCCGUGCCAGCAGCCGCGGUAAUACGGAGGGUGCGAGCGUUAAUCGGAAUUACUGGGCGUAAAGCGCGCGUAGGCGGUCUGAUAAGCCGGUUGUGAAAGCCCCGGGCUCAACCUGGGAACGGCAUCCGGAACUGUCAGGCUAGAGUGCAGGAGAGGAAGGUAGAAUUCCCGGUGUAGCGGUGAAAUGCGUAGAGAUCGGGAGGAAUACCAGUGGCGAAGGCGGCCUUCUGGACUGACACUGACGCUGAGGUGCGAAAGCGUGGGUAGCAAACAGGAUUAGAUACCCCGGUAGUC
RNAcentral lists this ribosomal RNA (465 nucleotides) under Vreelandella stevensii. Its description in RNAcentral is "partial 16S ribosomal RNA". It matches the Rfam family "Bacterial small subunit ribosomal RNA", at positions 338 to 795 of the family's 1533-position model. The record is from RNAcentral. Lineage: Bacteria; Pseudomonadati; Pseudomonadota; Gammaproteobacteria; Oceanospirillales; Halomonadaceae.